RNAcentral lists this transfer RNA (71 nucleotides) under Longitarsus curtus. RNAcentral describes it as "tRNA-Lys". The record is from RNAcentral. Lineage: Eukaryota; Metazoa; Arthropoda; Insecta; Coleoptera; Chrysomelidae.
CAUUAGAUAGCUAAAAGUAAGCAAUGAAAUUUUAAAUCAUUCAAUAAUAUAGUUACGCAUAUUUCUGAUGA